GCGGCCACUGCUAUCAAGUUCCGACUAAGCCAUGCGAGUCAAGGUAUCGUAAGAUGCCGGCAAACUGCUCAGUAACACGUGGAUAAUCUAACCUUGAGUAAGGGAUAACUUCGGGAAACUGAAGGUAAUACCUUAUAAUUGCUUAAAACUGGAAUGUUUUUGCAAUAAAAGUUACGACGCUCAAGGAUGAGUCUGCGACCUAUCAGGUAGUAGGUGGUGUAAUGGACCACCUAGCCUCAGACGGGUACGGGCCCUGGGAGGGGUAGCCCGGAGAUGGACUCUGAGACAUAAGUCCAGGCCCUACGGGGCGCAGCAGGCGCGGACACUGUGCAAUGCGCGAAAGCGCGACACGGGGAGCUUGAGUGUCUUGGCAUAGCCAAGACUUUUCUCAUUCCUAAAAAGCAUGAGGAAUAAGUGCUGGGUAAGACGGGUGCCAGCCGCCGCGGUAACACCCGCAGCACGAGUAGUGGUCACUUUUAUUGAGCCUAAAGCGUUCGUAGCCGGUUUUGUAAAUCUUCAGAUAAAGCCUGAAGCUUAACUCCAGAAAGUCUGAAGAGACUGCAAGACUUGAGAUCGGGUGAGGUUAAACGUACUUUCAGGGUAGGGGUAAAAUCCUGUAAUCCCGGAAGGACGACCAGUGGCGAAAGCGUUUAACUAGAACGAAUCUGACGGUAAGGAACGAAGGCUAGGGUAGCAAACCGGAUUAGAUACCCGGGUAGUCCUAGCUGUAAACAUUGCCCAUUUGAUGUUGCUUUUCCGUUGAGGGAAGGCAGUGUCGGAGCGAAGGUGUUAAAUGGGCCGCUUGGGAAGUAUGGUCGCAAGACUGAAACUUAA
Molecule: ribosomal RNA, 834 nt
Filed under: archaeon enrichment culture
Lineage: Archaea
Description: bacterial SSU rRNA
Rfam family: Archaeal small subunit ribosomal RNA
Source: RNAcentral